CGGCUGGGGCCCAGCCCACGGAGGCCGGCGGAAGGCGGUGGCCGAAGAGCCGCGCCCCUUGUGGAGCGCAUGCUGUGUGACCCGCGCCUGCCUUUCCCGCCGCCGCCCGGCUAGGGCCCAUCUCAGGUUGGACUGGCUACGUUUCAAGAGCUCAGCAACCACGUGGCUCCUGCAUUGGACCCUGCAAUGCUAGUUGGGGAGACAGAAAAGAAAUGAAGCGGAUUCCACAUCAAGCGGUGGAAAGGGUUUUGAGAGAGAGAGAGAGAGAGAGACAGAGACAGAGCACGAGCAGGGGAGGGGCAGAGAGAGAGGAAGACCCAGAAUCCGAAGCAGGCUCCAGGCUCUGAGCUGUCAGCACAGAGCCCGACGCGGGGCUCGAACCCACAAACCGUGAGCUCACGAUCUGAGCUGAAGUCGGGUGCUUAACUGACUGAGUCACCCAGGCGCCCCGAGAUGGGAGUUUUAAUCAUUGUCGCCAUGGUGAAGAAUGAAAUCCUUCAUUUAUUCAUCUAUGCCUUGUUAUCAUUCUCAUGAAUAGACUUUGUCUUUUGGAACAGUU
Molecule: long non-coding RNA, 559 nt
Organism: Leopardus geoffroyi (Geoffroy's cat)
Lineage: Eukaryota; Metazoa; Chordata; Mammalia; Carnivora; Felidae
Exons: 3
Source: RefSeq, a predicted model, not a curated record